UCCCCAGGAAAACCUUUGUUGAGGAGCUUCAAAGAAGGAUUAACAGUGUUUGAUAAAGCUACUAGACAACAAUAUACGGAGGGACAAGUGCAUGUGUACAUUGCAUUUUUUUCAACCAAGCGGCCUCAACCAUUUCGAUCAUGCCUCAACCAUUUCGAUCAUUUGGCAAUUUAAUUCAAACAGCCAAAAUAUAGAACAGCAGAAAAAAAAAAGAAGGAAAGUUAUUCAAGUCUUGUGUGAUUGGAUCAAAUGAUAGAGAAUUGUGGC
RNAcentral lists this long non-coding RNA (267 nucleotides) under Ananas comosus (pineapple). RNAcentral's name for it is "long non-coding RNA (ACOM_LNC033477)". The record is from RNAcentral. Lineage: Eukaryota; Viridiplantae; Streptophyta; Magnoliopsida; Poales; Bromeliaceae.